Molecule: long non-coding RNA, 2201 nt
Organism: Heterocephalus glaber (naked mole-rat)
Lineage: Eukaryota; Metazoa; Chordata; Mammalia; Rodentia; Bathyergidae
Source: Ensembl
AUAAAAGUUUCUAUGUCUGAUUUUAUGAGUGUGGGGAAUGUGAAAGAUUACUAGUUCUUGUUAAUAUGGAUUAUCUAGGAUUGAGGUGGUUGUGGGGACAGGAGGUUCAGGGGAUUCGGUGCUUGUCCAAUUCAGUUUACUACCAGAAUCAUGGAAAGAAUGAAGUUUGUGAACCGAGUCACCACUGUACAUAUAUAUGGUAUGUGUUCUCCUUUUCUACUUAUUUCUUGCUUUCAAAAGUGGGCAAGUAUCAGUUGUCAUCAUCAGAAUGUCACAUUCUCUCUGGGCUAUGUAUGUAUCCGUGUCUUUAUGUGUUUGCCAAAAAGAAUCCAGUUGUCAGGAAGAUGGUAGGAAUUGAGGAGCCACUGAGAGAAGCAGAGCCACCUGGGAUGAGGAUUAUCUCCUUGCAGAAGGUGAGAGUGCAUGGUUAUGUAAGAAUCAUUCUGGAGAAAUUAAGUGCAAUGGCCUUGAUGGGAAGAAUGGAUAUUUGCCAGUAGGUAAGGAAGGUGGUCUAAGUAUGGAGUCAGUUUCCUAUUGUUAGGGAGUGAGGGGCUUUCCUAUAUUUUUUGCCAGAAGCUUCCCUAUAUUUUUGUAGGGAAGUGGGAAAGGUUUGUCUAGCAAGUAGUUCUCCGAGUUGCUUGCUCAUUAGAAUCAUUUGGUGGUGGGGCAUCAACAACCACUGACAACUGAUCUACUUCCGGAGAUGGUGAUAAUUGGUCUUAGGUCUUCUGGAAGUCAGAACUUUUUAAAGAUCUCCUCCAGGUGAUCCCAAUGUGCAGCAACAAUUGUGAGCUAAGCCUCAGGCCAAUACUUCAAACCUGGUAGAUAUUAGAAUCACCAGCUGAGCAUUAAUAACUUUGAAACUAAUCUAAAUAGUAUGAAAAUCAUCUGGACACUGGGAUUGUUUUUAAAUCCCCCUGUCAAUUCUGAUGUAAGGCUAAAUUUGUGAAUCUCUGCCUUAAAAGAAGUUUAUAGCAACUCGAUAAAGAACUUCAGUGAAUUUAGAGCACUGUUUGUGGCUUCUCCAUGCUGGGCUCAGGCUAGAACUGCCAUGUAAUUAGGGACUAAGUAUUGUGGAAAUAAAAUAGAGCCAUUUUUAGGUUCCUUUUUUGCCUUGAGUCAUUAACCAUGUAUGUGAUUCAGAAUAUUUAGAAACACACAAGUGCAUUUGGUGAUCUGGUUUUUUGAGGCACAGACGUCACUUUGAGAUUCCAAGAAAGAAAAGUAUUGCAGGUUGUUUGAUGGACAUAAGAUUAUAUAGAUUAUAAAGAUUAUAGUGUGGGAAAAAGAGGCAGAAGGUCAAAGGGAAGUACAUUUCUUCUAGCCACUACAAUCACUUUUGCAUUCCAGGAAUGGAUGAUCCUCAGUGUGAAGGCCCACGUAAAUAAUAUCCUUCAGGAAAAAGGAUGUAUUCAUCAUUUGCCCUCACCACUUACUUUACUUGGAUAAAAUGGUUGUUUCUGGAAGAAAUAGUUCACUGCUGAGUUGAAUGAGUGGGUAGAAUACAAUAUCAGUGAGAAAUGGAGAGUGGAUCUCAUAGCAGAGUGAGAUGAGGAAGCUGGACAGAGCUGGCAGGAAAAGAUGCUGGAUGGUGCUGAGGAGUUAGCGCUUUCUGGGGAGAAAAAGGAAACAAUAAGAGGGUGAAUUAAUAAGAAUGAAAGAUUCCAAAGUUACUGUGCCUUUGGGCAAUUUCCUUUCAUUUAUUGAACAUAAGGAGAAGAAGCUGGGGAAUUGAUCUUUGACUUGAGGGUGGAAGAUGGGAAGAUAAUUUAAGAUUUAAUAUUUCUCUUAUUGAUAAUUAAACUUCACAGUCAUGGGAGAAGACAGUUAUAGUAGAGCAAUAGUGUAAAAAAGUAAGUGCAAAUGGCAUAUUAAAUAUUUUUUCUAAUACAAAAAUAAUAGUGUAGACAACUUCAAGGUAUAGAAAAGUACAAAAUAAUUGAAAAUCUUAACCCAAAGAUAAAUAUUCUUAGUAUUUACAUGUAUGUUAUUCCAGUGUUUCUCAUACAAAUGAAUCAAUAUGCUUUUCUUGAUAAGAAUUAUAUUGCCCUACACAAAAGCAAUUCACAUGAGAACGUUCUUGAUAUUCUAAGGGAGAAAAGCUUAACAAUACAAUACAAUUUACUACAAGUACUAUUCACUCAACCAAUUGGCUAUUGUGGUACCUCUAUGGCAUUUGAUUCCAAAGGGAACAACUUAAG